UAUUAGCCCCGAUAGAAGCGGUAUCCUUUGCUUUUUUUGAAAAAAGCAAAGAUAUAGCGGAUAGCGGGACAUAUC
This 75-nucleotide small RNA is filed under the name Flavobacterium degerlachei. Its description in RNAcentral is "Flavo-1 RNA". It matches the Rfam family "Flavo-1 RNA". Lineage: Bacteria; Pseudomonadati; Bacteroidota; Flavobacteriia; Flavobacteriales; Flavobacteriaceae. The record is from RNAcentral.